UGGGACCAGAGGAGCUAAGCAAAAUCCUAAGAAGAAGUCUCUGGAUACAUUGAUUAAAAGACUCAAAGACGUAAACUGAAAUCACAAAAAUUCUGGACGAAACUUAGGUUCGGCAUUAUGAUUUUCCAGUGAGUCUUCUUUCUAAGGGGGCAGCAGUGUAUUGUUUGAACAGAGCUGAGUGGAUACAGUGGAGACUUGUGUACUCUUCUUGAAUCAGAUGUAAGUUUAUAUAUAUAUAUACCAGUCGUUGCCACGUGCGUUGCACAAAUUUUGUAUUUAUCGUGCUUUUAUUAGCGCAAAAAUUGUAGAUUUUCCAAAACUUGUUGAAGAUAAUCCAUUUUUGGUUAGUUUUCUUAACUGAAUAUAAGAAAUGAUGUAAUGAUUUUCUUUUAUCUUAGGUUGUACAUGUUUUAGGAGCUUAUCUGCAGCUCAUUUCUUGUAUGUUUCUUAUGCUAAAGUGUUUAUUUAGUCGUUCCCAAAUUCUAUUGUUAGUUAAGCUGCUUUCAAUUGCAAAAAAAGAAGUAGAUUGAGGGAUGGAAGCAAGUAUUCAACUUUCGUUAAGGAAUCAGUAGUACAUCUUUUUAUAUUUGAA
Long non-coding RNA from Olea europaea var. sylvestris, 592 nucleotides. RefSeq lists it as uncharacterized. Lineage: Eukaryota; Viridiplantae; Streptophyta; Magnoliopsida; Lamiales; Oleaceae. The record is from RefSeq and is a predicted model, not a curated record. The transcript has 2 exons.